UUUUGGACAAUGGGGGAAACCCUGAUCCAGCAAUGCCGCGUGCAGGAUGAAGGCCUUCGGGUCGUAUACUGCUUUUGUACGGAACGAGAAGUCUUGGGUUAAUACCCUGGGAUCAUGACGGUACCGUAUGAAUAAGCACCGGCUAACUACGUGCCAGCAGCCGCGGUAAUACGUAGGGUGCAAGCGUUAAUCGGAAUUACUGGGCGUAAAGGGUGGACAGGCGGUUUUGUAAGACAGUGGUGAAAUCCCCGGGCUCAACCUGGGAACUGCCAUUGUGACUGCAAGGCUGGAGUGCGGCAGAGGGAGAUGGAAUUCCGCGUGUAGCAGUGAAAUGCGGAGAUAUGCGGAGGAAGAACGAUGGCGAAGGCAAUAGCCUGGGGCUGCACUAACGCUCAUGCACGAAGGCGUGGGGGGCAAACAGG
Molecule: ribosomal RNA, 422 nt
Filed under: uncultured bacterium
Lineage: Bacteria
Description: partial 16S ribosomal RNA
Rfam family: Bacterial small subunit ribosomal RNA
Source: RNAcentral